Molecule: long non-coding RNA, 793 nt
Organism: Leptonychotes weddellii (Weddell seal)
Lineage: Eukaryota; Metazoa; Chordata; Mammalia; Carnivora; Phocidae
Source: RefSeq, a predicted model, not a curated record
CACGGCUCCCGCUACCCGCGCGGCUGGCCCCUCGGGGGGCGGGGAAGUCCUGCUGGAGAGCCCAUCCUUUCCGCCCGCCCGCCGCUCACCGGCUGCACCAGGCUGUGCCGGGCCCAGCCGCACACAGUCCCGCGAACCGAGAACCCUGGCGAUGCGCUUUGCGCCUAGCAGGCGGGAGGGAGAGCCAGGCGUCCCGCCGGGAGGAAGGGCGCUCCGAGUGUCGGAACUGGCCGUCCAGGGGCCUGCGGGUUGGCGCUGUGGACGCGUGUUCCUAGAGGAAAUAACUGGGAGUAUGACGGGACGGAACAGGUGGGGGCGAAGAAUUUGGGUUUGACACCGUAGGCAAUCGGGGCUCCUCCGAGAAAUGGAAGCAGUCCAAUGUUGAAGUCAACACCUGCUGCUAAGAAUGUGUACAAGUUUGGGGAAGUCGCCGUUUCUCUACGGGACUCCGUUUCCGCGUCUGUAAGUCAGAGUAAAUACCCACUUCGGUGUGCCGUGAGGCCCGGGCGACAGAGGAGGAAUGACUGGCUCGUACCGCAUAGCGCAGGGUGCGAUCGUAGUGCUUGCUCCAUGCUGACUUCAUCGCCUCCCAUAAAGAUACGGUCUGUAGGCGGUCGGAUGGAUGAACUCUGUGAUUCUCAGCCCAGAUGCUCCCUGUAGGCUACACUUCCACCCCCGGCCUUCCCUUAGGUGGGUUCCCGACUUUGGUAAAGGAAGGUUUCUGCGCCCCCUGGUGGUCAUAAAUGGAAAAGGGGCGCCUGGGUGGCUCAGUCGUUAAGCGUCUGCCUUCGGC